CAAAGAGUAGUUUAAGUAAAAUGCUGGCUUUGGGGGCUAGUGAUGGAUAGUCCUUCUUUGA
Molecule: transfer RNA, 61 nt
Filed under: Ptyas mucosa (Dhaman)
Lineage: Eukaryota; Metazoa; Chordata; Lepidosauria; Squamata; Colubridae
Also listed under: 1 other name
Description: tRNA-Pro
Source: RNAcentral